Molecule: ribosomal RNA, 301 nt
Filed under: uncultured bacterium
Lineage: Bacteria
Description: partial 16S ribosomal RNA
Rfam family: Bacterial small subunit ribosomal RNA
Source: RNAcentral
CAGUAGCCGCGGGAAUACGUAGGGUGCGAGCGUUAAUCGGAAUUACUGGGCGUAAAGCGUGCGCAGGCGGUUCGUUAAGACAGAUGUGAAAUCCCCGGGCUUAACCUGGGAACUGCAUUUGUGACUGGCGAGCUAGAGUAUGGCAGAGGGGGGUAGAAUUCCACGUGUAGCAGUGAAAUGCGUAGAGAUGUGGAGGAAUACCGAUGGCGAAGGCAGCCCCCUGGGCCAAUACUGACGCUCAUGCACGAAAGCGUGGGGAGCAAACAGGAUUAGAGACCCCAGUAGUCCCUGUCUCUUAUAC